This 471-nucleotide ribosomal RNA is filed under the name Klebsiella pneumoniae. Its description in RNAcentral is "bacterial SSU rRNA". It matches the Rfam family "Bacterial small subunit ribosomal RNA", at positions 1 to 470 of the family's 1533-position model. The record is from RNAcentral. Lineage: Bacteria; Pseudomonadati; Pseudomonadota; Gammaproteobacteria; Enterobacterales; Enterobacteriaceae.
AAAUUGAAGAGUUUGAUCAUGGCUCAGAUUGAACGCUGGCGGCAGGCCUAACACAUGCAAGUCGAGCGGUAGCACAGAGAGCUUGCUCUCGGGUGACGAGCGGCGGACGGGUGAGUAAUGUCUGGGAAACUGCCUGAUGGAGGGGGAUAACUACUGGAAACGGUAGCUAAUACCGCAUAAUGUCGCAAGACCAAAGUGGGGGACCUUCGGGCCUCAUGCCAUCAGAUGUGCCCAGAUGGGAUUAGCUAGUAGGUGGGGUAACGGCUCACCUAGGCGACGAUCCCUAGCUGGUCUGAGAGGAUGACCAGCCACACUGGAACUGAGACACGGUCCAGACUCCUACGGGAGGCAGCAGUGGGGAAUAUUGCACAAUGGGCGCAAGCCUGAUGCAGCCAUGCCGCGUGUGUGAAGAAGGCCUUCGGGUUGUAAAGCACUUUCAGCGGGGAGGAAGGCGUUAAGGUUAAUAACCUU